AUCCAGCUGACGAGUCCCAAACAGGGGGAAACGCGCGUCCUGAAU
Schistosoma mansoni is the source of this 45-nucleotide non-coding RNA. The record is from Rfam. NCBI's taxonomy places the organism in Eukaryota, Metazoa, Platyhelminthes, Trematoda, Strigeidida, Schistosomatidae.